This 329-nucleotide long non-coding RNA is filed under the name Vitis vinifera (wine grape). Its description in RNAcentral is "long non-coding RNA (VVIN_LNC000139)". The record is from RNAcentral. Lineage: Eukaryota; Viridiplantae; Streptophyta; Magnoliopsida; Vitales; Vitaceae.
AUUAUUAUAUGCAUAAUAUCUUGGCUCAUGGAGCAAUCUUUAAGCAUGCAACUUUGAAAUAAGAAUUAAAUAUUGAGUUUUGGAUUUAUUGAAAAGGGUGAAUAGUCAAGAAAUAUAGCAUAUAAUAAUUUGGGCGUGGCUCAAUUAUAUAAGUUGUGAUUUGACGCCUAAUGUAGCUGCCUGAAUAAGCCUACAAGGAUGGUAAUGGGCCAGUUCAGGACGAAUCAUCCUCAUUUCAUCUUGUUGUCGUUUAUUUAUACCUAUUUUUUAUCUUCAUAAAAAUAAAUAAAUAAACAGAGCAAAAUGGGUAUAAAAAAUUAUCAUAUCCG